This 727-nucleotide long non-coding RNA is filed under the name Equus caballus (horse). Its description in RNAcentral is "lncRNA (ENSECAG00000058152.1)". The record is from RNAcentral. Lineage: Eukaryota; Metazoa; Chordata; Mammalia; Perissodactyla; Equidae.
CGGCGGCCGGGGAGCCUCUGGGCGGCGGGCACGCGCGCGCACGCGAGGAGCGCGCGGCUGCUGGGCCGCCGUCCGGGGAGGCGUGGGCGAGCUGCGCCUGCCUGCCCAGAGCCGAGCCCGGCGGAGUCCGGCCGCGCGGUGCUGCUCUCUCCCGGGCCGGGCUCGUCCGUUCCCCCGGCGUCCGUGGACGCCGCUCCGUGUCCCCGCUGGGCACAGCAGCCCGGGCCCUCCACAGCCACGGCCGCUAGCCUGAGGAGGCCCUCCUUCAGCUCGCGCUCUUCCCGCUCGCCGGACCCGGACGACCAGGGCGCCCGCGAAGAUGAUUCCAUCUGGGAGAGAAAUGUUGCCAACGCCAUUCUACGUGAAUGAAGGUGUCUGGAGUGCUUGCACCCAGAGAAGGUUGUGAGAUCAUUGUCAUCACCCAGAAGUGGUAGCAGACACCUGCACUCACACUCAGAUGAAUCUGGGGCUGGCCUGGGACCUCGACGCAGACAUCUGGUUGCAGCCGAAAGACAUCGUCCCUCACCUUAAAUUAAGGACGUUAACGUGAAAUGGACUGGUCUUGUAGUUUUGUUUGUACUUGAUUUUUAAGUUUGUUUUGGUUUUAGAGUUGUGUAAGAGCUAAAAGAAUAAGGAAGUUUUACCAGGAUGUCUGUUUGUAAAUAUUUAAUUUAUGUUUGAAUAAAAGUAAUUCAAGUGACACUAGAGCUCCUGGAGCAGUUUCGGA